CAGCCGCCACGGUAAUACGUAGGUGGCAAGCGUUGUCCGGAAUUAUUGGGCGUAAAGGGCUCGCAGGCGGUUUCUUAAGUCUGAUGUGAAAGCCCCCGGCUCAACCGGGGAGGGUCAUUGGAAACUGGGAAACUUGAGUGCAGAAGAGGAGAGUGGAAUUCCACGUGUAGCGGUGAAAUGCGUAGAGAUGUGGAGGAACACCAGUGGCGAAGGCGACUCUCUGGUCUGUAACUGACGCUGAGGAGCGAAAGCGUGGGGAGCGAACAGGAUUAGAUACCCCUGUAGUCUCUGUCUCUUAUAC
This 301-nucleotide ribosomal RNA is filed under the name uncultured bacterium. Its description in RNAcentral is "partial 16S ribosomal RNA". It matches the Rfam family "Bacterial small subunit ribosomal RNA", at positions 509 to 807 of the family's 1533-position model. The record is from RNAcentral.